Molecule: small nucleolar RNA, 135 nt
Filed under: Sorex araneus (European shrew)
Lineage: Eukaryota; Metazoa; Chordata; Mammalia; Eulipotyphla; Soricidae
Description: U8 small nucleolar RNA (ENSSARG00000018895.1)
Rfam family: U8 small nucleolar RNA
About the family: U8 is a member of the C/D class of snoRNA which contain the C (UGAUGA) and D (CUGA) box motifs. U8 is the RNA component of a small complex (the U8 snoRNP) which is required for accumulation of mature large subunit ribosomal RNAs, 5.8S and 28S rRNAs.
Source: RNAcentral
UCAUCUACUAUGAUAAUUCUUGCCUAUUCCUCUAUCUAGAGGGCAGAUAAAAAUGAUUUUUUAAGAUCGCAUGAUUCAUGAUUAAGGUCUCUGAGUGAUUUGGGCUCAAGAAAAACAAAUUUAAUUAAAUGUAAA